GGGCAGACCACUCAGCUUCCCGAUACGGACUCCAAUGGCACUCUACAGUGAGCUCCAGGCUUUCAACUUUUGACUGGCUCCUCGGCUCUCCAGUGUGCAGAUGGUCUUUCUGCAUUCUUCCACAUUUGACUGUGCAGGCAGCCAUUAUAAGCCUACCUUAUAAAUAUGUUUUAUAUUAAGUCUAUUCCUCUGGUGAACCCUGAUAUGUUCACCAGUGCCAAGGAUUGACCCACAAAGACAAGCAGGAGGGUGGCAGAGAGGGAGCACAAACUCAAAAUUAGGGUGCACAGGCUGGUGCUGGGAGGGCGAUUCCUUCGAGGGAGGGGCUCCUCGCUGAUGUCCCCACCCUUGCUGAUCACUCUCUCAUCUGCUGCCUGUCACCAUCCGGAAUGGUCUCUGAUCUCUUCCCCACUUCAGUGAUACUGUGUCUGUUUCUGUCCCUUCUGCCAUCAGUAGACGACCAUAUGCAAUAUGGAUGCACAGUUUAAAGCAUAGUGAGACGGACUGUCUCUACCUUGAUGAGACUAGAACUCUACCACUCCUUUGUGGACCCCAGCAGCCCAACUCCCACCUUCUCUACGAAGCCAGCCCUGGCCUGACAUGGAGUUCAAUAAUAUCAGCGGAGGUGUCUUCAGUGUAUUGUGCAGUUUUGAAAACAGCGGGCAUCAAUCACCCACUUAGCAAUGUGAGGAAGACAAAGAAGUCUUCCAGAGAAGGUUGAGAUCUGGGUCAGAGUGGACCUCACCUGCCCUGAGAGUUUAUGGGAGCCCUUUCUGGAGACGUUCAUGCCUUGGGGGAGCUAUGUCACUAACAAACACCAGAUGCAUUUGUGUUUUUCCACACCGUCACAAUUUGUUGAAGAACUAUAAAUUCACGAGCUAUGUCAGUUUUGUCAGCCUUACCUGGCUGAGUACUCAAGACGCCCUUGGUAGUCAGUGAGCCAGGCAAUCACAGGUUCUUUUAUUCCACCCUUAAUGACUAAUGUCACACUCCGGGCACACAUCAGCCUUCACACAGUCAUGCAUAGGUUACAGAAUGGCUAGAAAAGGGUUUACAGUGGCUGCAGGAAUUGAAGAGGCAGAACUAAAAGCAAAGACAGAGAGCCCACGGAAAUUAGUCAUCACAAGUGGCCAGAUAAGAUGACAGGCCAGUGCAUCUCACAUCUUUUUAUUCCCCAUCCCUUCCCUUCACUCUGUCUCUGGAUCCCUUUCCUGUGCAAAAGACUCAUCUUCCUUUUUCCUGUUAUCAGUUUUAAAAAAUUGUUUAUACUUUGGGUUUCUCAUACAAGAGAAACCAUGUAAUUAAUGUUAUGGUCUCAAGGUACCUCCAUUUUCCUACAAAUGACUGAAAUUUAUCCUCCUUUAUGGCAGAGUAGUGCUCCAUAUCCUACAUUUUAAGUACAUGCCUAUCCCCUAAGAUGCAGGUAAACAUUAUGUAUUGCAAACACGUACUAAUAAAAAAAAUGGAAAAAAUGCAAACUAAAAAAAAAAAUUUUUUUUUUUUUCUUUAUGGAGAUCUGAAUGGAAUGGAGCCAGUCCUACAAAAAGAGCAACAGGUGAUCAAUCCAGGCAGAGGGACAAGCUAAUGGAAGAGGAGCCUGUGAAACACAAAGGCCUGGGUGGUACCAGUAUGCUUGCGGAGUCUUCAGACAACACAGAGGAAUACAAAGAUCCUAAAAGGGAGAAAGGACCUUUCUGUGCCACUUUCUCUGGAGUGCUCGUCCACCAAAAGAACAAAUGUCCAAAAUCCGAGGCUGCCCCUCAACUCUGCAGGUGGGGAGGGAGGGAGGGACAAUUGGAUACCAAUGCAGAAGGCUCCAGGUUUCCAGGAAGUACAAGUUUCAGAGUUCCUGCAGGUACAGAGAAAGUGAGCAGUAGCCUGCAG
This is a long non-coding RNA of Heterocephalus glaber (naked mole-rat), 1884 nucleotides long. Lineage: Eukaryota; Metazoa; Chordata; Mammalia; Rodentia; Bathyergidae. The record is from Ensembl.